GGUAUAUAGCUCAGUUGGUAGGGCGCUUGCCUUGCUUGCACGAGGCCCUGGGUUCAAUCCCCAGCACCG
RNAcentral lists this transfer RNA (69 nucleotides) under Marmota monax (woodchuck). RNAcentral describes it as "tRNA.Ala". The stretch from base 7 to 64 matches the Rfam family "tRNA", at positions 8 to 63 of the family's 71-position model. Rfam says of the family: Transfer RNA (tRNA) molecules are approximately 80 nucleotides in length. Their secondary structure includes four short double-helical elements and three loops (D, anti-codon, and T loops). Lineage: Eukaryota; Metazoa; Chordata; Mammalia; Rodentia; Sciuridae. The record is from RNAcentral.